CCAUUCGAAGUAAUUAGAAUCGAAGAAAACAAUAACAUAGUAAUUAGGAAUAAAAAGAACAAAGAACAGAAAGUUCAUAAGGAUAGGUUAAAAAUAUAUAAUUAAUGAAACGUUUUAUACAAAAUAAAUAACUAAAAAAAAAAAAAAAGGUCUGAUCAACCGAAAAAAAAAAAAAUUUUUAAUAAGUUUUUGUCUAAGAAAGUUAAAAAUAGAAGCAUAACGUAAUUAUAAACAACAACAAAAAAAAAUAUAAAAAAAAAAAAAAAUUCUUUUACACAAAUUAUUCUGAGACCAAACUUUUUCUAAUAGAAAGGAUAAAUAAGAAAUAAUAUAAGAAAAAAAAAUGUUUUAAUUAAUUAAAUGACUACAUAUAUUACGUCAUUUCUCUAAAAAGGGAGGUGUAGUGUAUCUACCCUCACUAUAACUCUACUCUACAUAUAUAUAAGUAACGUACAUACAUUGUGACACUUUGUUGCAAACACAAAUAAACAUAAUUCACAUCAAAGACCACAUGCACUUACAUAAACACUCCAGCCAAUGAAAUACGAUCUAACGCUUAUACAUAAGCCGAUCGCGGAGCGUGAGAACGCUGAGCAUGCACUUAGCAGCUCAAGUGGUCAAGCCAUACAUAACAUAUGUAUGCCUUCUGCAUACACAUGUAUAUGUAUAUACAAUAUGUACAAUAUGUAAGAACACCAUGUACGGGUAGCUGUACCCAAAGACAGCAACAUAGAAUUCAUUCAAAUAAAACGAUUCAAACGGAACAGACGCUCUGAGCUAUUCAAUAUCUAUUACACUGAGCUAUUACUUAUUACUUAUUACAUUAGUUUUUUAGCUAUUUAUAGCUAAUUAACACAAUCCCGGGGCGUUCUAUAUAGUUAUGUAUAAUGUAUAUUUAUAUUAUUUAUGCCUCUAACUGGAACGUACCUUGAGCAUAUAUGCUGUGACCCGAAAGAUGGUGAACUAUACUUGAUCAGGUUGAAGUCAGGGGAAACCCUGAUGGAAGACCGAAACAGUUCUGACGUGCAAAUCGAUUGUCAGAAUUGAGUAUAGGGGCGAAAGACCAAUCGAACCAUCUAGUAGCUGGUUCCUUCCGAAGUUUCCCUCAGGAUAGCUGGUGCAUUUUAAUAUUAUAUAAAAUAAUCUUAUCUGGUAAAGCGAAUGAUUAGAGGCCUUAGGGUCGAAACGAUCUUAACCUAUUCUCAAACUUUAAAUGGGUAAGAACCUUAACUUUCUUGAUAUGAAGUUCAAGGUUAUGAUAUAAUGUGCCCAGUGGGCCACUUUUGGUAAGCAGAACUGGCGCUGUGGGAUGAACCAAACGUAAUGUUACGGUGCCCAAAUUAACAACUCAUGCAGAUACCAUGAAAGGCGUUGGUUGCUUAAAACAGCAGGACGGUGAUCAUGGAAGUCGAAAUCCGCUAAGGAGUGUGUAACAACUCACCUGCCGAAGCAACUAGCCCUUAAAAUGGAUGGCGCUUAAGUUGUAUACCUAUACAUUACCGCUAAAGUAGAUGAUUUAUAUUACUUGUGAUAUAAAUUUUGAAACUUUAGUGAGUAGGAAGGUACAAUGGUAUGCGUAGAAGUGUUUGGCGUAAGCCUGCAUGGAGCUGCCAUUGGUACAGAUCUUGGUGGUAGUAGCAAAUAAUCGAAUGAGACCUUGGAGGACUGAAGUGGAGAAGGGUUUCGUGUGAACAGUGGUUGAUCACGAGUUAGUCGGUCCUAAGUUCAAGGCGAAAGCCGAAAAUUUUCAAGUAAAACAAAAAUGCCUAACUAUAUAAACAAAGCGAAUUAUAAUACACUUGAAUAAUUUUGAACGAAAGGGAAUACGGUUCCAAUUCCGUAACCUGUUGAGUAUCCGUUUGUUAUUAAAUAUGGGCCUCGUGCUCAUCCUGGCAACAGGAACGACCAUAAAGAAGCCGUCGAGAGAUAUCGGAAGAGUUUUCUUUUCUGUUUUAUAGCCAUACUACCAUGGAAGUCUUUCGCAGAGAGAUAUGGUAGAUGGGCUAGAAGAGCAUGACAUAUACUGUUGUGUCGAUAUUUUCUCCUCGGACCUUGAAAAUUUAUGGUGGGGACACGCAAACUUCUCAACAGGCCGUAUCAAUAUCCGCAGCUGGUCUCCAAGGUGAAGAGUCUCUAGUCGAUAGAAUAAUGUAGGUAAGGGAAGUCGGCAAAUUAGAUCCGUAACUUCGGGAUAAGGAUUGGCUCUGAAGAUUGAGAUAGUCGGGCUUGAUUGGGAAACAAUAACAUGGUUUAUGUGCUCGUUCUGGGUAAAUAGAGUUUCUAGCAUUUAUGUUAGUUACUUGUUCCCCGGAUAGUUUAGUUACGUAGCCAAUUGUGGAACUUUCUUGCUAAAAUUUUUAAGAAUACUAUUUGGGUUAAACCAAUUAGUUCUUAUUAAUUAUAACGAUUAUCAAUUAACAAUCAAUUCAGAACUGGCACGGACUUGGGGAAUCCGACUGUCUAAUUAAAACAAAGCAUUGUGAUGGCCCUAGCGGGUGUUGACACAAUGUGAUUUCUGCCCAGUGCUCUGAAUGUCAAAGUGAAGAAAUUCAAGUAAGCGCGGGUCAACGGCGGGAGUAACUAUGACUCUCUUAAGGCGUUGGAUUUUCUAUCUAUCGUCGGCCUCAAACUUAAUGCCGACAAAUGUUUUACCGUUGGCAUUAAGGGCCAGCCGAAACAGAAGUGUACCGUGUUAGAGGCACAGAGCUUCUACGUAGGCUCGAGUGAGAUUCCAUCACUGAAGCGCACGGACGAGUGGAAGUACUUAGGCAUCAACUUCACUGCAACCGGGAGGGUUCGAUGCAAUCCGGCCGAGGACAUUGGUCCAAAGCUACAAAGAUUGACAAAGGCUCCCCUCAAAUAACAACAGAGGUUGUUCGCCCUUCGGACUGUCCUUAUCCCACAGCUCUACCACAAGUUAGCCCUUGGGAGUGUGGCGAUAGGCGUCCUAAGAAAAACUGAUAAACUUAUAAGAUAUUAUGUGCGAAGAUGGCUAAAUCUUCCGCUGGAUGUGCCGAUAGCAUUUGUUCAUGCACCCCCAAAAAGUGGAGGUCUCGGAAUUCCACCACUAAGAUGGGUAGCUCCAAUGUUAAGGCUAAGACGCUUGAGUAACAUUAAAUGGCCUCACCUCACGCAAAACGAGGUAGCCAGCUCUUUCCUCGAAGCCGAAAAACAACGGGCCCGAGAUAGAUUAUUAGCUGAACAAAAUGAACUGUUAUCGCGUCCGGCAAUAGAAAAAUAUUGGGCGAACAAGUUGU
This 3257-nucleotide ribosomal RNA is filed under the name Drosophila melanogaster (fruit fly). RNAcentral's name for it is "eukaryotic LSU rRNA". The stretch from base 1 to 2824 matches the Rfam family "Eukaryotic large subunit ribosomal RNA". Lineage: Eukaryota; Metazoa; Arthropoda; Insecta; Diptera; Drosophilidae. The record is from RNAcentral.